Molecule: non-coding RNA, 1748 nt
Organism: Thamnophis sirtalis
Lineage: Eukaryota; Metazoa; Chordata; Lepidosauria; Squamata; Natricidae
Source: RefSeq, a predicted model, not a curated record
UGAGCGUUUGCAACGCUCUUGGCCGAGCGGAGCUCACACCCUUGCCUCCUUUUGGACGGAGCGGUCACUAAGCGCGGUCCGUCUGGUCGUGGGAAGCCCCGCGGGCGAAGGGGAGCGGAAAGGCCGGCCUUCAAAGGCUCGGAAGGUGCCGGGAAGAUUUUGCAAAGGCGCCCGGAAAGAUUGCAGCGCUGUGAGAACAAGCUCACUUCGCUCCCAGCGGGACGCAGCUCCUGGUCACAGAUCCAGUGUGCGACAAAUGGCCACAACCAAGCGUCGUUCUCCUGAAACCUUUAUGCCACAAAAAGCGUAUCACCCUUGUGUGCCUGGCCCAGGGCUUCCGCUACGAGUGGCCGCUGGAUGUGAUCUGGAAGUGCAAUAACAAAAAGAUUGACCGACUCUCCUCUGCUACUGAGCCAGUCAAGAAAGAAGGGGAGUGCAACUUCGCCACUGCCAGCCGCCUGAGUGUGUUGGCAGAGGAGUGGCGGAAAGGCUACAACUAUUCCUGCCAUGUCAAGCAAACGGGGGAGGAGAUGAGUGACUGGGUGGAGAGCAGUCCAGACCACGAGACAGCUUCAGAAUCAGCUUCAGGUAUCUCUGAGGUUCAACUCAGCCUUUAUGCGGGGCAGUUUAUAUUCCUCCUACUAGGGGUCAAAAGCUUGGCCUACAGUGCUAUUCUGGGCAUCUACAAGUUCUAUAGAAAGAAAGGUCUCUAAUUGUGUUACCUGCUACAGCAGUAUUCACUCCCUUACCAGCCAAGGCACAGAUUUACAUCUAGCUGCAGGCCUUUCCCAGUGAAGAUCCAUUCCAUUCUGAAGUUUCCACAUCCUUCAUCUCAGCAUCUUCCUUCCAGAGGGACUCAUUGGUCACUUUAUAUUAAAUUGUUCUAUGCCUUGAGAAAAUUUCAAUACAUAUUUUCUGCCUCACAAUAAAGAUGUUCUGUUUCCUGAUUUUUGUGUGGAAAGUAUUAAUCCAGGUGGGUUUUCAUACUGUCUCCGAAUAUUGGGUGAGCAAGAGGAAACUGCAUCUAUUCAGAGGAAAUUAUGAUGACACAUUUUUCCCAUAUAGCUCUCUUCCAAAUCACAUCACCGCUCUCGUUAAAUCCUGGGUCGCCUGUACUUCACAUGUUGGUUGGACUUCAUGGCAUUCAGAAUCUUCUGAUGUCCUCCAUCAAGGCAAUGUGAAUGUAGAAAGGAACAAUGUCACGGUUGGAUGGGCAACUUUCAUAAAAUGUGCUGGAAUAUGAAUCCUGAUAAUAGCAUCAUACUGUGCUUCUAUCACCAUAGUCAACGGAAAUGAAAACACAGAUGGUUUCAUUAGAACUGGUUCAGGGAAAGAAGGAAAUAAUUGUGAUGGUUGCAUAGUGGGAGUGAGGAUGGAUGCCAUUCAAGUCAUGUCAAACCUAUUAUCUAAGCUAGGUUUCAGCCUUAGACUCAUCCAGGUGCAUUUCCCAUAAUUUCCCAGCCAGCAAGUCUGAGGGUUGGAGGACAAAGUUUGGGAUUAGACUUACAACAGCCUAAUGAAAUCUAUUUGUUUGUAUAUUGGGAACAAAGCUGAUAAAUGAACAGCACUUUCAGUUUUCAUUUUAUAGUGUUGUAUAGAAAGUACAUUGCAUCUGCAAGUAUCUAGUUAGGUGAUUUGAGAGAAAUCUUAAUCUUAUUCUUUUAUAUUAGUUAAUGAAAUGUAUUGAUUUUAUUUAUCUGUUGAUAAACAAAUAAUUCCCUCAACACUGUCAAACUAUUUACUAAGUC